UAAACUUGGACUUUAUGGAUUACAUGGGUUUCUGUUAUCCCCUCCAAGUGGUUUUAACAUAUGUUUUAAAGCCAACCUAGAGCAUGUGCAAUUUAUUUAAAAAUUUUUAAUGAUAGCUGUCCAACUAUUAUCUGUCUCUCAGCAAAUAUAUCUCAAUUCACUUCCUUUUUUUUUUUUUUUUUUUGAGAUAGGGUCUUGCUCUGUUGCUCAGGCUGAAGUACAGUGUUGAAAUCUUGGUUUACUGCAACCUCUACCUCCCUGGUUCAAGCAAUUCUCAUGCUCCAGCCUCUUGAGUAGGUGUGAUUACAGAUGCAUGCCACCCUGCCCGACUAAUUUUUGUAUUUUUAGCAGAUAUGGGGGUUUCAUCAUGUUGUCCAGGCUGGUCUUGAACUCCUGGCUAGAAGUGAUCCACCAAAUUGCCUCCCAAAUUGCUGGGCUUACAAGCGUUAGUCACUGCUCCCGGCCUCAAUUCACUUGUCAAAAGUGUUCAUGAUGUUAAGAGCCCCGGCUGUCAGAGAAUUGUGUGUUUCCUCUGUGGGUGCUUUCUAUUCUUGAAACUAACUGAACUGCUGAAGUUCCCACAGAAGAAUCCAGAAGAACUGAUGCUGUGAAUGAGCUUUAACGUUUUGGGUAGUACCUGGGGUGGCAAAGUGAGCAAUAAUUUUUAAAUAUUAAAACUAUGUUUGUGAUUUCUAGUAUAUUCUCUGAAAAAUGUAGCAUUUUUUUUAACUAUUUCACAUAAAAUAUUGUGAUAUUGGUAAUAACUACAUCUGUAGAGCCUGUGCCACACCAGGUGCUUCACAUGUAAUUCUCACAAUGACACUACUGUUUACAUUUUUGCAUUGGGGAAACUGAGGCUUAAGAGUAGUAGUAACUCAGCUAAUUUCACCCAACUCGAGAGGACCGAGCAAGUAUUUGAACUCAGGUUUGCCUACCGAAAGCCUGCACUCUUCCACUCCACUACCCUGCCUGCCAACUUUCAUUCAUCUAUUUGCAAAAUAUUUAUUGAGCACAUAAUAUAUAUCAAGAACUGUUCUAAGUGCCUAAGAUACAUUGGUGAAUGAAGACAAAGUUUCCCGCCCUUACGAAGCUUAGAUUCUAGUGGGAGAAAGGGACAAAGAAACAAUAUAAUUUUAUAUAAAAUUACAUACAUGAUAACAGGUGCCAAGUGCCAGGGAAAAAGGAAAAGGAGAGGAAAUUAAGAGGAAUCAGGGAGCUGGGCAGUGAGGGUGGAAAGAGAUCAUCCCAUUAAAUGUAGGGCGAACAUCAUUGAAAAGGGGUCAUUUGGGUGAGGAGGGAGUGAGCCAAGCAUAUCUCAGGCUAUUCCAGGCAAGUAGAACAGCGGCAGCAAAGGCUUGGAAGCAGGAAUGCACUUGGUGAGUCCCUGGACCAGCAAAGAGGCUAGGAUGGUAGCGAAGAGGGAGCGAGAGACAGAGGAGCAAGAGGUAAAGUCAGAAUGGAAUAGGCCUUGUGGAGG
Molecule: long non-coding RNA, 1477 nt
Filed under: Callithrix jacchus (white-tufted-ear marmoset)
Lineage: Eukaryota; Metazoa; Chordata; Mammalia; Primates; Cebidae
Description: lncRNA (ENSCJAG00000070550.1)
Source: RNAcentral